GAGGGGCUCGCGGCCCAUUAGCUUGUUGGUGGGGUAACGGCCUACCAAGGCAACGAUGGGUAGCUGGUCUGAGAGGACGAUCAGCCACACUGGGACUGAGACACGGCCCAGACUCCUACGGGAGGCAGCAGUGGGGAAUCUUGCGCAAUGCGCGAAAGCGUGACGCAGCAACGCCGCGUGGGGGAAGACGGCCUUCGGGUUGUAAACCCCUUUCAGGAGGGACGAAGGUUCACCGGUGAAUAGCCGUGUGGAUUGACGGUACCUCCACAAGAAGCUCCGGCUAACUACGUGCCAGCAGCCGCGGUAAUACGUAGGGAGCAAGCGUUGUCCGGAAUCAUUGGGCGUAAAGCGCGCGUAGGUGGCUUCAUAAGUCCGUUGUGAAAGUCAAAGGCUCAACCUUUGAAAGCCGAUGGAUACUGUGGAGCUAGAGUACGGAAGAGGCGAGUGGAAUUCCUGGUGUAGCGGUGGAAUGCGCAGAUAUCAGGAGGAACACCAAUAGCGAAGGCAGCUCGCUGGGACGUUACUGACACUGAGGCGCGAAAGCGUGGGGAGCGAACAGGAUUAGAUACCCUGGUAGUCCACGCCGUAAACGAUGGGUACUAGGUGU
RNAcentral lists this ribosomal RNA (607 nucleotides) under uncultured Actinomycetes bacterium. RNAcentral describes it as "bacterial SSU rRNA". It matches the Rfam family "Bacterial small subunit ribosomal RNA", at positions 224 to 823 of the family's 1533-position model. Lineage: Bacteria; Bacillati; Actinomycetota; Actinomycetes. The record is from RNAcentral.